Penaeus indicus is the source of this 466-nucleotide long non-coding RNA. RefSeq lists it as uncharacterized. The record is from RefSeq and is a predicted model, not a curated record. NCBI's taxonomy places the organism in Eukaryota, Metazoa, Arthropoda, Malacostraca, Decapoda, Penaeidae. The transcript is spliced from 3 exons.
CGCCACCUGAGUCCACUUCUGUUCUCGCUGCAGUCAACAAGCUCUCUCCAAAAUGAUUAACCGUGUCCUGCUGGUCGUGUUGGUGGUCGUAGUCCUGUCGGCUUCGACACUGGCCCUUCCUGAGGCAAGUCGUCGACUCUCGGUCGGCCUGUACGGAGGUUACGGAGGAUAUGGCCUUGGAGGAUUGGGCUACGGAGGCUAUGGAGGCUAUGGAGGCUAUGGAGGCUACGGACACUUCCAAUACGGUUACUACUAUGACUAGAUUAACCAAUCAACCAUAGCAAAGGAUGCCGCAUGUACUUAUCCUCCAUAUAAAGCAUAUAAUAAGGCUCGAAAUCGUCAACUCAGUGCUACCUAACUUCGUCCGAAGGAAAUACGACUUUUUAAAAGAAAACAAAAAGAAAUUAAGCAUUUUAAACACUGUGGAUCUUUGGCAAUCAGUCUAAUAAAUGUUUGGCUUUGCAUG